This 305-nucleotide ribosomal RNA is filed under the name uncultured bacterium. Its description in RNAcentral is "bacterial SSU rRNA". It matches the Rfam family "Bacterial small subunit ribosomal RNA", at positions 338 to 660 of the family's 1533-position model. The record is from RNAcentral.
CCUACGGGGCGCAGCAGUCGGGAAUAUUGCGCAAUGGAGGAAACUCUGACGCAGUGACGCCGCGUAUAGGAAGAAGGUUUUCGGAUUGUAAACUAUUGUCGAUAGGGAAGAAAAAAGACUGUACCUAUCAAGAAAGCUCCGGCUAACUACGUGCCAGCAGCCGCGGUAAUACGGAGGAUGCGAGCGUUAUCCGGAUUUAUUGGGUUUAAAGGGUGCGCAGGCGGUCUGUUAAGUCAGCGGUCAAAGCCCGGGGCUCAACCCCGGCCCGCCGUUGAAACUGGCAGUCUCGAGUUGGAGAGAAGUAU